CUAAGCAGGUUAAUAUUCCUGCACCACGAAUGACAGCGUUGACCUGAGCAGGGACGGAGAAGGGUAGGCCGAGCUAGCUGUUUGGAUGCUAGUUCAAGCCCGUAGGUAGAGACCAUCGGACCCGACAGGGACAAACGUGGUCUCAAUACCGAGAGGUGAUGAGGUUAGGCUUCGGCCUAAAAACUCGGUGAUCCCACGCUUCCAAGAAAAGCUGCGCAGUGAGCUCCAUCCGUGUCCGUACCGCAAACCGACUCAGGUGGGCGGGGUGAGUAUCCCAAGGCGCGUGAGAGAACACUGACUAAGGAACUCGCAAAUUGACACCGUAACUUCGGGAGAAGGUGUGCCCUCAUUACGUGACUGGACUAGCGCCAGAAGCGGACGGGGGUUGCAGAGAAAUGGGGGUUGCGACUGUUUACCAAAAACACAGGACUCUGCGAAGUCGCAAGACGACGUAUAGGGUCUGACGCCUGCCCGGUGCUGGAAGGUUAAGGGGAGAAGUUAGGGCAACCGAAGCUUCGAACCGAAGCCCCAGUAAACGGCGGCCGUAACAAUAACGGUCCUAAGGUAGCGAAAUUCCUUGUCGGGUAAGUUCCGACCUGCACGAAUGGCGUAACGACAUCCCCACUGUCUCGGUCAGUGACUCAGCGAAAUUGUAUUGGGGGUGAAGAUACCCUCUACCCGCGGCAAGACGGAAAGACCCCGUGAACCUUUACUGCAACUUGGCAGUGAAGUUCGGGACAAUCUGCGUAGGAUAGGUGGGAGACUUUGAAGUCGGGAUUCUGGUCUCGAUGGAGUCGUCCUUGAAAUACCACCCUGGUUGUUCUGGACUUCUAACUCAGCUCCUACACGGAGCGAGGACACUGCCUGGUGGGCAGUUUGACUGGGGCGGUCGCCUCCCAAAAAGUAACGGAGGCGCACGAAGGUUCCCUCAGGCUGUUUGGAAACCAGCCGUAGAGUGCAAAGGCAUAAGGGAGCUUGACUGUGAGAUCGACAGAUCGAACAGGUGCGAAAGCAGGUCUUAGUGAUCCGGUGACUCCAUAUGGAAGGGUCAUCGCUCAACGGAUAAAAGGUACUCCGGGGAUAACAGGCUGAUCACGCCUGAGAGUUCAUAUCGGCGGCGUGGUUUGGCACCUCGAUGUCGGCUCAUCGCAUCCUGGGGCUGGAGCAGGUCCCAAGGGUUUGGCUGUUCGCCAAUUAAAGCGGUACGCGAGCUGGGUUCAGAACGUCGUGAGACAGUUCGGUCCCUAUCUGUCGUGGGCGCAGGAUGUUUGAAGGGAGCUAACUUUAGUACGAGAGGACCAGGUUGGACGCACCUCUGGUGUUCCGGUUGUCGCGCCAGCGGCAUAGCCGGGUAGCUAUGUGCGGAACGGAUAACCACUGAAAGCAUCUAAGUGGGAAGCCGGCCCUAAGAUGAGACAUCCCGGGACGUAAGUCCCCUGAAGACCCCUUGUAGACUACAAGGCAAUAGGCAGGGUGUGGAAGCAUGGCAACAUGUGGAGCUGACCUGUACUAAUCGGUCGUGAGGCUUGACCUG
RNAcentral lists this ribosomal RNA (1534 nucleotides) under metagenome. RNAcentral describes it as "bacterial LSU rRNA". It matches the Rfam family "Bacterial large subunit ribosomal RNA", at positions 1421 to 2925 of the family's 2925-position model. The record is from RNAcentral.